UACAGAGGUCUCAAGCGUUGUUCGGCUUCAUUGGGCGUAAAGGGUGCGUAGGCGGCGCGGUAAGUCGGGUGUGAAAUCUCGGAGCUUAACUCCGAAACUGCAUUCGAUACUGCCGUGCUUGAGGACUGGAGAGGAGACUGGAAUUUACGGUGUAGCGGUGAAAUGCGUAGAUAUCGUAAGGAAGACCAGUGGCGAAGGCGGGUCUCUGGACAGUUCCUGACGCUGAGGCACGAAGGUCAGGGGAGCAAACGGG
RNAcentral lists this ribosomal RNA (253 nucleotides) under uncultured bacterium. RNAcentral's name for it is "partial 16S ribosomal RNA". It matches the Rfam family "Bacterial small subunit ribosomal RNA", at positions 524 to 776 of the family's 1533-position model. The record is from RNAcentral.